CCUACGGGAGGCAGCAGUGAGGAAUAUUGGUCAAUGGACGAGAGUCUGAACCAGCCAAGUCGCGUGAAGGAUGACUGCCCUAUGGGUUGUAAACUUCUUUUAUAUGGGAAUAAAACGUUCCACGUGUGGGAUUUUGUAUGUACCAUAUGAAUAAGGAUCGGCUAACUCCGUGCCAGCAGCCGCGGUAAUACGGAGGAUUCGAGCGUUAUCCGGAUUUAUUGGGUUUAAAGGGGGCGUAGGUGGAUUGUUAAGGCAGUUGUGAAAGUUUGCGGCUCAACCGUAGAAUUGCAGUUGAAACUGGCAGUCUUGAGUACAGUAGAGGUGGGCGGAAUUCGUGGUGUAGCGGUGAAAUGCUUAGAUAUCACGAAGAACUCCGAUUGCGAAGGCAGUUCACUGGACUGCAACUGACACUGAAGCUCGAAAGUGUGGGUAUCGAACAGGAUUAGAUACCCUGGUAGUC
Molecule: ribosomal RNA, 460 nt
Filed under: uncultured bacterium
Lineage: Bacteria
Description: partial 16S ribosomal RNA
Rfam family: Bacterial small subunit ribosomal RNA
Source: RNAcentral